CAGCACUUUGAGAUAUCAGCUGAUGUACGAAGGGCUAUAUAAAUAAAUUUGAUUUGAUUUGAUGGCAAAGCCAUAACAUGAACACAACCUGUGUUUUUAGGCCUAUACGAAACAAACUUAAUGUUGGUAGAAUCCUGGAUAUUGUACCAAUAACAAACAUGGCAUGCCCUCAUGGGGAGAAAAGUCAUCGGUCAGCAUACACCUUGCCUCUUUUUCCAUCCGUUUGGAGAGAGGAGGUGUGAUGAUAUACACAAAGACACGCUCUCAAUGCGUUGAGGAGAGGUGGGGGUGGUGGAAGAAGGUGAGCCUUCAUUCUCCCGAUAGCUCACAGUUCUUCUCAGUUUGAGUUCUGAAAGGGACGGCAACAGCUCAACUGUCAUUACUUGGCUUUCUCCCUCUGCCUGGUGUCUGUUGCAUACAGAGAGGCAGCAAUCAACUACAGAACAGUAGCAAUGUGCAUGGAGAUUGGCUGCUUAGUGCUCUGUGUGAGUGGAUGGAUCCUGGUCUGCUCUACAAUGCCACUGAGAUCUGGACCUGCUCUGAGGUAGACAGCAUCGUUCUGACCACUUCAAACUACUUCUCCAAUCUCUGGAAGGAUUGCACUUCUGAUUCAACAGGAGUGUUCAACUGCAAGGGUAUCCCAUCAAUGUUCGCAUUGAACUGGGGCAUCCAUGUGCUCCGGGCUCUGAUUAUCACCUCUAUUAUCUUUGGAUUCUGAGAUAGGAGGAUCUUCUGCACUAAGAUAGGAGGAUCUGAGAUUGGAUCUGAAAAGUGGGACUUUUGAUGGAUGGAUUAACUAUCUUGUGUCUGGUAAACAUUUAUUUUUGUUGAUGUGGUUAUUCUGAUCAUUGGGUUCCUGGGUGAACUCAAACAGUCGAGUUGUCUUGUUUCAGGGUUGUGUUCCAUGACUGCAUUCUCUUAUUAUGGAAACAAAGUAAGAGCAGAAUUUCAGGAUCUCAAUUUCAGGGCACAAGAGUUAGUAGACAUUUAUCAAUUCUAUGUAGAUCCAAUACUUAAACUGGCGUUUAGAUUUGUACUCAGUAAUAUAUGAAAACACGUCACAGCUAUUAUAGUAUAAGGGAGGGACAUGGAGUUGUAAACAAUGAAAAUGAAUGACACACCUUCAUGGUAUUUUUUAAAAAUCAGAUACUAAUAGGUAAAGAAAUCGAAGUAGGUGUUUCCAUUGGAUGUGGAGGCUCGAACCUACUGGUCGUUGGGGGCCUCAUUUGCAGUUUCUUUGCACAUAAGGGAGGGUGUCAAUCAAGAUCAAAGAACAAACACAUGCCUGUCUACAAGUUCCCUGAUAGCUACAUGGCACCUCCAUCUAAACAGAGGUACCUACCUGUGUCAACAGAACUCACAGAGGGUGGAGAGAGCAUAAGACCAAGACCAGCAGUAAGACUAGGAGCAUAAGGAGCAGCAGCAAGACACCCUCCAGUUUGAACACGUAUGUGUUGUGACCUGCAGUUUGACAUUUGUAAAAAAAACAAAAAAUAAAAUAAAAACAUUAAGCUCUUUCUAUGAGACUGACCAGGUGAAAGCUAAGAUCCCUUAUUGGUGUCACUUGUUAAAUCCACUUCAAUCAGUGUAUAUGAAG
Long non-coding RNA from Oncorhynchus gorbuscha (pink salmon), 1597 nucleotides. RefSeq lists it as uncharacterized. NCBI's taxonomy places the organism in Eukaryota, Metazoa, Chordata, Actinopteri, Salmoniformes, Salmonidae. The record is from RefSeq and is a predicted model, not a curated record. The transcript is spliced from 3 exons.